Molecule: long non-coding RNA, 929 nt
Filed under: Brassica napus (rape)
Lineage: Eukaryota; Viridiplantae; Streptophyta; Magnoliopsida; Brassicales; Brassicaceae
Description: long non-coding RNA (BNAP_LNC011288)
Source: RNAcentral
UCUUCCAACACGUACCCGCUUCCUAAUUUUUUAAAAAUCUCGCGUCUACGCGCUUUCAUACACGUAUCCGCUUCCGUUUCCGUUUCCAUAGGUUUUCAUUAAUGAUUUUUUUUUUACAUAUGCUGAUAAUAAAAGCCCAACUAAAACUCAAAUGGACUUAAUUAACAGAUCCAAGAAAAAAGCAAGCCCAAAAGAGGUCCCAAAACCGAGAAAACUCUAGGGCUCCAAACUCCAUAGACGAGCCGCCACAGCCGCUAGAGAGACCACAAUGAGAAGACCAGAUUUCGGCCAACAAACGGAGCUGCUACCGACUGAUUUGAAAACGCCUCACCGUCAAAGGACUAUGCAAGGUAGAGGUGAAAACCGGAAGAAAGGGAAGAGAACCCAAGAGGAAAGACCCAUGCAGAUCCGACAUAAGUCGUUGCCGUAGUCAGCCGCCUCCGGGAUCCUUGUUCACGCCGCCUCUCCGCCGUCCUCAAACAGAAAGCUUACUGAAGUAACCAGAAGUUCAUGAAACUAUAUCACGCCUCCGCCUUGAAAACCUCCUCUCCACCGAGAUCCACCACCCCCCUUCGCCGGAUCCAUGUCGCUCAUCACCAAACAGCGGGCUUGAACCAGAUCUUCGACGACGACACCUGAGGAAGCGUAAACCCAACUCCGUCUUCAAGAGUCAAGAACCGCAAGGAGCCACCACCAAAAAUCAGACUGAACCGACCCAACUCCUAUCUCGAACCGGAAACACCACCAAGCCUCUUGCCAAGUUACUGUCAAAUCAAGGAUGAAGAUCGAGGCAAACAAAAAAAAAACCUCUCACAGUCUCACGGAGGAGAUCGGAGUGGAAGACUGAAACUGACGGCGUUAGGUCAAGAGGAGAGAGAUGAGAGAUAAGGAACGAUUGUCCUUCGAUCAAAAAAAUUGGCAUAUCAAUA